RNAcentral lists this unclassified non-coding RNA (1171 nucleotides) under uncultured Bordetella sp. RNAcentral's name for it is "partial 16S-23S ribosomal RNA intergenic spacer". The stretch from base 1 to 535 matches the Rfam family "Bacterial small subunit ribosomal RNA", at positions 10 to 546 of the family's 1533-position model. Lineage: Bacteria; Pseudomonadati; Pseudomonadota; Betaproteobacteria; Burkholderiales; Alcaligenaceae. The record is from RNAcentral.
GGUCUGAUUAUGGCUCAGAUCUGAACGCUGGCGGAUGUUUACACAUGCAAGUCGAACGGCAGCACGGACUUUUCGGUCUGGUGGCGAGUGGCGAACGGGUGAGUAAUGUAUCGGAACGUGCCUAGUAGCGGGGGAUAACUACGCGAAAGUUGCAUAAUAAUGCACAAUAGCCCUUCGGGGGAAAGCGGGGACCUUCGGGCCUCGCACUAUUAGAGCGGCCGAUAUCGGAUUAGCUAGUUGGUGGGGUAACGGCUCACCAAGGCGACGAUCCGCUGGUUUGAGAGGACGACCAGCCAUUACUGGGACUGAGACACGGCCCAGACUCCUACGGGAGGCAGCAGUGGGAAUAUUGGACAAUGGGGAAACCCGAUCCAGCCAUCCCGGCGUGUGCGAUGAAGGCCUUCGGGUUGUAAAGCACUUUUGGCAGGAGUUGUUCGGCAUAUAAUACCCCGUGCAACUGACGGUACUCGCAGAAUAAGCACCGGCUAACUACGUGCCGGCAGCCGCGGUAAUACGUAGGGUGCAAGCGUUAAUCGGAAUUCAUCUCCCUGACACACUCUAGCUCGGUAGUUAAAAAUGCAGUUCCAAAGUUGCUUCUGGGAUUUCACAUCUUCUUCCGAACCGCCUGCGCACGCUUUACGCCCAGUACUGGAUUAACGCUUGCACCCUACGUAUUACCGCGGCUGCCGGCACGUAGUUAGCCGGUGCUUUGUCUGUGGCAUUGUCAGUUGGGCCGGGGUAAUAUCCCGCGCCGUUUCUUUCCUGCCAAAAGUGCUUUACAACCUGAAGGCCUCAUCGCACACGCGGGAUGGCUGGAUCAGGGUUUCCCCCAUUGUCCGGGGCACCCCCACCGCUGCCCCGGAGUCUGGCCGUCCCGCGUCCAGUGUGGCUGGUCGUCCUCUAAACCAGCUACGGACGUCGCCUUGGUGAGCCGUUACCCCACCAACUAGCUAAUCCGAUAUCGGCCGCUCUAAUAGUGCGAGGCCCGAAGGUCCCCCGCUUUCCCCGCGCGUAUGUUAGCUACGCUUUCGCGGUUAUCCCCCGCUACUAGGCACGUUCCGAUACAUUACUCACCCGUUCGCCACUCGCCACCAGACCGAAGUCCGUGCUGCCGUUCGACUUGCAUGUGUAAAGCAUCCCGCCAGCGUUCAAUCUGAGCUAUAAUCGAACC